This 72-nucleotide transfer RNA is filed under the name Chitinophagaceae bacterium. Its description in RNAcentral is "tRNA-Phe". It matches the Rfam family "tRNA". From Rfam's summary of the family: Transfer RNA (tRNA) molecules are approximately 80 nucleotides in length. Their secondary structure includes four short double-helical elements and three loops (D, anti-codon, and T loops). Lineage: Bacteria; Pseudomonadati; Bacteroidota; Chitinophagia; Chitinophagales; Chitinophagaceae. The record is from RNAcentral.
GGAUGAAUAGCUCCAAUGGUAGAGCAUUCCGCUGAAGCCGGAACAGUACAGGUUCGACUCCUGUUUCAUCCA